Molecule: long non-coding RNA, 4861 nt
Organism: Carassius gibelio (silver crucian carp)
Lineage: Eukaryota; Metazoa; Chordata; Actinopteri; Cypriniformes; Cyprinidae
Exons: 2
Source: RefSeq, a predicted model, not a curated record
AUAUAUAUAUAUAUAUAUAUAUAUACAUACACAUACAUAUAUCUCUAGCUAUCUUCAAUGCAUGAUUGUUUAUAAAUGUAUAGAGGGAGAGAUAAAUGGCAAAAUGUAUCUCAGAUAUAAACAAAUUUGCUUUUUCUUAUUCUUUUUGGAACUAAUUUGUACAUAAAUGAACUAAGCAAACCAAACAUGUUCACAUCUGAAAUUAAUUUAGAAAUUUAUCAAAAACUGUGUGGUUCCCAAUUACCAACACACACAUUUGUUCCUCGGGUUCUCUAGUUAAACAUAUCCACAGCACCACAGCAAAACCUUUACCAUUCCCAAAAUGGCUCCUACUAAUAAAGUACAAUAUGCAAUAUAAUUGCAAUAAAAUGCAAUAAAAUGAAACCGUACACUUGAAUAUAUAUAUAUAUAUAUAUAUAUAUCCACUGUUAAAGUGUACGGUUUCAUUUUAUUGCAUAUUGAAAUAAAUAUUUCUGAGUUCUGUAUCAAUCUGUUAUUUUUUUUAUUUAUUUUUUUUCUGUUAUCCAUACAGUGUUGUAAAGUCAUGAAGCUAUGUAUAUUUCCUCAGAAUCACUUGUUCUCUAAAUGAAAAAUUGUUUUGAAAUGUUUGGAAGCUGCAAUUUAAAAAUACAAGGCAAUUAAUGUUUCCCUUUUUACUGUUAUUGUCACCACAGCAAAACCAUUCAAGCGAUCCAAAAUCCAUUCGCAAUUUAAGUUUCUCAAUGUUUUGGCAUCAUAUAGACAAAGUUUGGUGUGUAUAGUGUACUUCCCCUGUGAGUAUGCAUUAAUUCACAGCUAUAUUUUUCCAAAAAUCCAUAUUAAAAUCAAAAUAGCCGACUUCCUGUUGGUCGUAGCUUAUGACUUUGACCCAUACUCAGAAUUUGUGCUCUGCAUUUAACCCAUCCAAAGUGCACACACACAGCAGUAAACACACACACACUGUGAACACACACCCAGAGCAGUGGGCAGCCCGAGGAGCAGUUUGGGGUUCGGUGCCUUGUGUGUACGUCAUGGUAAGUCAUGGUAUUGCCGGCCCAAGACUUGAACCCACAACCCUAGGGUUAGGAGUCAAACUCUUUAACCACUAGGCCACGAUUUAGGAUUAGCUGUCCUGUGGAAUGAGGCACAUUUGCAAAUGUACUCUACAUUUGAUACAUUGUGUUAGCAGUGCAAAAGAUUGUGGGUUAAAUUCCCAGUACAUACUCGUAAAUUUUAUUUUUACUUUAAUAAAAUAUAAAAACAUUUUAUUCAAAUACACCACAAUAUGUUCAUUUUAGUUAGUUUGUCUCGUUUAUCGAGCCUGAUUGAUAUGUUUUAUAUAGUAUAGAUUGAUUUUGUUUGUUCCUCUUACUCCUACUAACUACUUAUUCAGUGUGUGUUACAUGAACAAAUUGGGAUCUAAAAUAGACAUGUGAAUAUUCAGCUGAAAGCCCUGUUACAACGAAAUGUGACAUAUGACACAUCUUAUGGGCCAAAAUAUAUAUACUUAGAACAGAGAAAAUAAGUCGUCUGAAAUUGUUCUAAUUUUCUAUAAUUCUUUUUUUUUAUUUAUUUUUUUAUUGUGGCUGUUUUCUUUUUAUUGCUUGGUGUUAAUAAAACUAGUUGUGACUUUCUUUGGCAGCGUGUUGAGUAAAUGUAUUGUUGGUAGUUGCAAGUUAUGAGUGAAAGAAAAAAAAAGACAAUAGAUUAAAUAAUUUGAGUUUAUUGAAUUUUGCAGGUGGUUAUUUUGAGCAACCCCCUUUUUUUUUUCUUUUUUUUUUGGCAGGCCUAUACCUGUCUGGCGCCCAAAAAAGUUACAUUUAAAUGAUUUAUCAAAAUCUUGACAGCAAAUUUUUUCUGGGGCCCACCACUGUUAAAGAGUGGCACCUGAACAGGGACCUUGAAGCCACAGACCAAAUGUGAACUAUGACUUAAACAUGAACGGUAAAAAAAAAAAAAAAUUCAGAAGGUUGUUGGUGUUGUUUUAUUGCAAACCUCUGAAAUUGUGUGUUGAUUGAUUGAAUUUGAAUUCAUUUGUGAGAAGUUAUCUGAAUGUUUUUGUUUCCUUUUUGGGUUGAAACAAUUGUGUGAGCAAAUUGGAAAAGUGUGUAUGUGUAAGAAAUUACUAAAUGCUAAUAUUGGUGGAACUGUUUAUUUAACCUUGUUGUUUAAUAUAUUGCCCCUAUAGAAUAUUAUAGUUUAUUUUGUCCCGGUUUGUUAGUUUCCUUUAAAAUUUUCAUAUUCAUUUACUGAUUUUUAUUUUACACAUAGUUUACACAUAAAAAUUACCUCCACACCCUCUCCAUCUCCAUUCACUUGUGUGGAUAUUGAAGUCCCUGAAGUAGUAUCACCAGGACCCCCUUCCUUUACAGCCCCAUUAUGCCCAAAUCUACAUGAUUCUCCGGGAACCAGAGUGUGCGGUUUGCCACUUUGCCCCUAACAGUUAGCACUCCUGGACAAACCCUCCCCAGGGUAUCUCCCCGUGCAGACCAUAUGCAGCUUUGCUCAUCACCUGAAUCUUUUCCUCCAUCUUCUGUGGGACAGCAGGAUUUGCCUUGUGAACUUUCCUACACCUGGCAGAGGAAUUCAACAACUUACUCAAGUUAAAGGAGAUUUGGACUCCUUAAGAGGCUAGCCAGAAACAGGAGAGUGCAAUGAUUCAGCUCACCAGGGAGGUAAAGGACAAGUCAUCUCAAUAUGCAAAACACAUUUCCAAUAUGGGGAUGAGGGUUUAAGAGGAGGUGCGGCCUUCCUGUUUCCUAUUUUAUACAAUCAAAUGGAAUUCUGGGUCUCCAGUGUCAGAUGUGAGUCAAACGUUUUUUGACUGCAAGCAAGCGUCUCCCCGCCUUUGUCCUGGUCAUGUCCCCACAAAGAUGGAGGACAACCAGCAAAAAUUACUCAAGUGCAUCUCUGAUAACAAGCAACACAUAGAAAGUUAGAUGGAUCAAUGGACCAAAGCUACCAAAUGUAUGAUCGGAGAUGAACUGACAAAUGUGAAGACUGCCCUUGUAUCUGAGGUAUGUUUCUUGGUUGAACAGCUUCAGGUAGAAAUUCAAAAAGAUCUUAAAGUCAUGCACAGGAACCUGCAGACUAGUCAAGAUGGUCUCAACAAAGAGCUUCAUCUGUGUAAGAAACAAAUGGAGGAGUUUAGCACUAACUUUCAAAAAUUCCAAUCAGACUUAACCCUUUAACUGCCCCACCAAGAAAAAAGCAUUUGAAAUUUUUUUUGUUUGCAUUUCUUAUCUCCUUAUGUCAUUAGUUACCAUACUCAAUGUAUUUUUUUUCAACACGUCCCAUAAUUUUUAAAAUAUCGGCCUCUACCAAAUGGUUGAUAUGUCACUUUAUGGCAAAAGUACCGGAAUUCAUACACAUACUAUGGAAAUCAGAAAAUAUGAACUAUAAUGAAUGAUCAGAAAGUUAUAUUUCUCAGCAAAUAGUACAUUCUGACAGCAGAAAGGAUUAUCUGAAAACAUUAGCUUAGCUUUUCUACGUUUACCAUAAAGUGACAAAUCAACCAUUUGGUUGAGCAGGCAGUUAAAGGGUUAAAAGAGGUGAUGCAAAGAGGUGUGUGAACUUGCAAGCACGAUGUCAGACACCGUAAUAUGCUCUGGUCCCCUCCCUGUUUACCGUGGUGACUAGAUGCAUAGCAGAUUGUCAUCACUAAAUGGCUGGAUGUCUAAGUGGUGCCCACAGAAUAACAUAGGUUUCAUAGACAAUUGGACGAGCUUUUGGGGCAGACCUGACCUGUUCAAAAGAGAUGGUCUUCAUCCCUCCUGGGGUGGCGCCACUCUUCUCUCUAGAAAUAUGGCAAAUAGUCUUAGUUUUUAUACUUGACCAACUGGGGCCCAGGUCAGGAAGCAGACAGACUGGCUAAACCGACCGUCUGCUACAGGGGCGGGUCUACGUGGUGGCCAGGGGGGGCACCGGCCCCCCCUGAAAUUCGAUUGGCCACCCCAGGUGCCCCCCCAUAAGAUGUCUUGUGAUUGGUUCAUUCUAUGGCCAAUCAUUUUAUAGAAUCUACUGAAGUUAGCGAUUCAAAGAAGUGCAGCGUCGACAGAAGGUGCGUUCCGUUCGACCGUAAGUGUACUGCGAAGUGGACUUCACAGGGUAUUCCGCCAUCUUAAGUGAGAUUCCAAUCGGAAGGGAGCGAACAUGUUCAGUUCGAAGGGCACUACGCACGGCACAGGGAAUAAGGGAACAUCGAUACAUCACUUCACAGGAAGUGGAGAGCGAUUAUCCCCCAACUGUCAUUGCGCGAAGCACGUCAUUACCAGUCAGAACGGCCGUCUUCGCUGACUUCAUUCAUAUUCAUUACGGAUUGUAAAAAGGGCGUUCCAAAUGAGCAGUUAUUGCCAGUGAAGUCCACUUCAACUGAUAUACCGUGCUCAGGGAGUAGGGAGCAGUGAACACUACGUAGGGACCCUGUCGAAUGGAACGCACCUAGAGACACUAGUGAUGGGAAGUUUGGAUCAUUAUACUUUGAGUCACGUUCAGCAAAAUGAACGAAUCUUUUUCUUGAGUAAUUUCGUUCAUUUUAGCAAAAUGUAAUUAAAAUGUUACGUGUUACUUCCCCAACACAUCUAGUAACGUUACUUAAGCAAACGUUGAUCACACUACAAACAAUACAAAACUAAAAUGCUAUAAAGACACAGAAAAGAUUAAUUAAUUAUUUACCUGGGUCUUCAGUCUGUGAUUAACUCACCUCUUGUCUGACAAGUCUUCAGCUUCAAAUCAUUCCUUAAUCACAUGACAGAUCCAUGCGCUAUUUCUGACAUUUCUGACAUUUGUCACUGUUUUUGUUACUGUUUCUUCUGGAUCUGUGGUGUUAUUAUUUUAUGAAUAAAUAAAACCUUGUUAUAAAUAAAAUAUUGAUUAAUUUGUC